This 465-nucleotide ribosomal RNA is filed under the name uncultured bacterium. RNAcentral's name for it is "partial 16S ribosomal RNA". It matches the Rfam family "Bacterial small subunit ribosomal RNA", at positions 28 to 507 of the family's 1533-position model. The record is from RNAcentral.
GACGAACGCUGGCGGCGUGCUUAACACAUGCAAGUCGAACGGUGAACUCCGCUUGCGGGGGGAUCAGUGGCGAACGGGUGAGUAACACGUGGGCAACCUGCCCUCAGCUCUGGGAUAACUCCAAGAAAUUGGGGCUAAUACCGGAUAUGACCGCUGACCGCAUGGUCUGGUGGUGGAAAGAUUUAUCGGCUGGGGAUGGGCCCGCGGCCUAUCAGCUUGUUGGUGGGGUAGUGGCCUACCAAGGCGACGACGGGUAGCCGGCCUGAGAGGGUGACCGGCCACACUGGGACUGAGACACGGCCCAGACUCCUACGGGAGGCAGCAGUGGGGAAUAUUGCGCAAUGGGCGAAAGCCUGACGCAGCGACGCCGCGUAGGGGAUGACGGCCUUCGGGUUGUAAACCUCUUUCAGCAGGGACGAAGCGAAAGUGACGGUACCUGCAGAAGAAGCACCGGCCAACUACGUG